UCACACUGAGAAGUGGUGAUCACUGUUC
RNAcentral lists this non-coding RNA (28 nucleotides) under Bombyx mori (domestic silkworm). Lineage: Eukaryota; Metazoa; Arthropoda; Insecta; Lepidoptera; Bombycidae. The record is from RNAcentral.